CCUACGGGAGGCAGCAGUGGGGAAUAUUGGACAAUGGGGGGAACCCUGAUCCAGCCAUGCCGCGUGUGUGAAGAAGGCCCUCGGGUUGUAAAGCACUUUCAGUGAGGAAGAACGCCUGGUGGUUAAUACCCAUCAGGAAAGACAUCACUCACAGAAGAAGCACCGGCUAACUCCGUGCCAGCAGCCGCGGUAAUACGGAGGGUGCGAGCGUUAAUCGGAAUUACUGGGCGUAAAGCGCGCGUAGGUGGCUUGAUAAGCCGGUUGUGAAAGCCCCGGGCUCAACCUGGGAACGGCAUCCGGAACUGUCAAGCUAGAGUGCAGGAGAGGAAGGUAGAAUUCCCGGUGUAGCGGUGAAAUGCGUAGAGAUCGGGAGGAAUACCAGUGGCGAAGGCGGCCUUCUGGACUGACACUGACACUGAGGUGCGAAAGCGUGGGUAGCAAACAGGAUUAGUACCCGAGUAGUC
This 464-nucleotide ribosomal RNA is filed under the name Vreelandella stevensii. RNAcentral's name for it is "partial 16S ribosomal RNA". It matches the Rfam family "Bacterial small subunit ribosomal RNA", at positions 338 to 795 of the family's 1533-position model. The record is from RNAcentral. Lineage: Bacteria; Pseudomonadati; Pseudomonadota; Gammaproteobacteria; Oceanospirillales; Halomonadaceae.